This is a non-coding RNA of Nothobranchius furzeri (turquoise killifish), 993 nucleotides long. The record is from RefSeq and is a predicted model, not a curated record. Lineage: Eukaryota; Metazoa; Chordata; Actinopteri; Cyprinodontiformes; Nothobranchiidae.
UCCCGUAAUAUAGUAUGGAUCAAAAUUAGUCUGUAGUCUAUUACCGGAAUUAACGCUUUGUUUGAAAGCCAGCCCUUCGCCUGCUCUGUGACCAAUGAACUGGCCGCAUGCUUAUACACGAAUAUGACGAUACAGAUUACCGCUUAUUUCAUUGGUCGAGGAACGGUCGCUUGGGGAGAAGAUACCGGAAGAAAACAGACGACAGCAAACAGCACGGCCAACCGGGAAACUAACGCCGACACUGCUGUACAAGUCUCGGACGACAGUACCCCUCCGAGAAAGAAGAAAAAAGGCUUCAAAAAUACAGGGAGGAAUGGGAAAAGGAAAAUUCCUGGCUGGAAAAACUGCGCGAUAACACCUAUAAAGUGCACUGCACCAUGUACCGGCGCAGUUUUUCCAAAGGGCAUGGUGGACUCACUGACCUCAAGCAACAUGCGUCUAGUAGUAGCCACAUGAAAAACAUAAAGGACGUGAAAUUACGGGGAACCCUCGAUCAGUUUGUCGUCCACAAGGCCACGGCAGAAGCAGAUAUGGUUAAACAUCUCUAUGGAUGAGCUUUAUGACGAGUGUGUCACUGCAACCGGCCUUCUGGAGCCCCUCACCAAAGGACCUCAGGAGAAGGAAAAGUGGCAGUCCAAGGGAACAGCAGAGAAGUGUAUAGAAAUUCUUCAGGCAGCUGACCUCUCCAACAUCCAGCCUGUUGUAUCGUUUGUACUCAGCAUCCCAUCUUCCACUGGAUUGGCAGAGAGGAUUUUCUCUCUCAUGAAGAAUAAGUGGACUGAUGUGCGGAACAAAUGUUCUACUGAAAUAAUUAGAUGUGAGCUCAUUGUCACUCUAAAUUGUGACAUGUUUUGCUCAGAGUUUUACUCUGCAGUACUGAAAGACAACUCCUAAAUGCAGCAAGAUCUCAAAAGAAAUACAAAUGGAGAAAAUAGUCUGUUUUCACAUAAUGUAGCAUUGAGCUUUUGAGUUCAUGAGUUUGGACUUUUUUUU